UUUUUUCUUCUUCUUCGCUAAUUGCAACCGAGAAAUUAAACUCCAAUCCAUCAGAAAUCAAACUUCAAUCCAUCAGAAAUCAAACUCAUAAUUUGAACUCAGAAAUCAAACUCAUAAUUCAAACCUAGAUAUCAAACCUAGAAAUCAAAUCUAAAAAUCUAAUCCAGAAAUCUAACUCAUAAACCCAUAAAUUAAGCUCAAAUCCACCAAUCAAAUUUGAUUACAAACUAGAAAAAAUGAAUGAAAGUUCAUCUUUGCUCCCCAUUACCACCAUAAUACGUCUUGUUUAAUUGAAUCCAGGAUGCUACAUGAACGGCUAGCGCAUCUGAAACUGGAAUCUCAAAGUCUGUUACAGUCAGAGGAGGAGAUGCCGUAGAACAGAACAGAUCUCCUCGGCGUCACCUGAGGAGUGGUCCCAAUCGAUCUCGCCCUUGUGAGCUACAGAGAAUCUGCUCGACCAAUCUCAAUUAAAAAAAACAUCAUGCCAUUUUCUUUGUUAAAAAACAACAACACAUAUCAAAACAUCUUGCUGUUUUACUUCGACAAACGCUGCG
This 554-nucleotide long non-coding RNA is filed under the name Eutrema salsugineum. Its description in RNAcentral is "long non-coding RNA (ESAL_LNC000164)". The record is from RNAcentral. Lineage: Eukaryota; Viridiplantae; Streptophyta; Magnoliopsida; Brassicales; Brassicaceae.